AGGAGAGAAUCUCCUCCAGGAAUUUAUGACCUGCCUAACAGAGCCUGGUGUCGGGAGUAUAGAGAGAGAGGGGAUGGUGCUUGCUGUACCCAAAGAGUGAUUUUAAAGUUAGAUACUGGAUGUAUUCAGUCGGGAACAAAGGCAUGUUAGCGUUAGCUAACGUUAGCUAAACCAUUUCUGCCUCAAUGGGUAACUAGCAGUAGCUAGUUAGCUAUUAGCUCACAUUAAAUUGCACAAGAGGUCACCGAAUUGACCAGUCAACAGAAGCUAGCUAACGGGUGACUUUUAACACAGAUCAGUGAAGAGGAAGUAGGACUUGGACAAUUUGGACGACACGUCGAGGACCUGAGCCCUAGGACCAUGCCUCAGGUCUACCCGGCCUGAUGACUACUUGCGGUCCCCAGUCCACCUGGCCCUGCUGCUGCUCCAGUUUAAACUGUUCUGCCUGCGGCUAUGGAACCAUGACCUGUUCACCGGACGUGCUACUUGUCCCAGACCUGAUGUUUUCAACUCUCAAGAGACAGCAGGAGCGGUAGAGAUACUCUGAAUGAUCGGCUAUGAAAAGCCAGCUGACAUUUACUCCUGAGGUGCUGACCUGUUGCACCAUUGACAACCACUGUGAUUAUUAUUAUUUGACCCUGCUGGUCAUCUAUGAACAUUUGAGCAUAUUGGCCAUGUUCUGUAAUAAUCUCCACCCGGCACAGCCAGAAGAGGACUGGCCACCCCUCAUAGCCUGGUUCCUCUCUAGGUUUCUUCCUAGGUUCUGGCCUUCCUGAGGAGUUUCUCCUAGCCACUGUGCUUCUACACCUGCAUUGCUUGCUGUUUGGGGUUUUAGGCUGGGUUUCUGUACAGCACUUUGAGAUAUCAGCUGAUGUAAGAAGG
Long non-coding RNA from Oncorhynchus tshawytscha (Chinook salmon), 882 nucleotides. The record is from Ensembl. Lineage: Eukaryota; Metazoa; Chordata; Actinopteri; Salmoniformes; Salmonidae.